GACGUAGGGCGCAAGCGUUGUCCGGAUUUAUUGGGCGUAAAGAGCUCGUAGGCGGUCUGUCGCGUCGAUCGUGAAAACUUGGGGCUUAACCCUGAGCUUGCGGUCGAUACGGGCAUGACUGGAGUUCGGCAGGGGAGACUGGAAUUCCUGGUGUAGCGGUGAAAUGCGCAGAUAUCAGGAGGAACACCGGUGGCGAAGGCGGGUCUCUGGGCCGAUACUGACGCUGAGGAGCGAAAGCGUGGGGAGCAAACAGG
Molecule: ribosomal RNA, 254 nt
Filed under: uncultured bacterium
Lineage: Bacteria
Description: partial 16S ribosomal RNA
Rfam family: Bacterial small subunit ribosomal RNA
Source: RNAcentral